GGUACUCGAGUGGCGAACGGGUGAGUAACACGUGGGUGAUCUGCCCUGCACUUUGGGAUAAGCCUGGGAAACUGGGUCUAAUACCGAAUAUGACCAUGCGCCUCCUGGUGUGUGGUGGAAAGCUUUUGCGGUGUGGGAUGGGCCCGCGGCCUAUCAGCUUGUUGGUGGGGUAAUGGCCUACCAAGGCGACGACGGGUAGCCGGCCUGAGAGGGUGACCGGCCACACUGGGACUGAGAUACGGCCCAGACUCCUACGGGAGGCAGCAGUGGGGAAUAUUGCACAAUGGGCGCAAGCCUGAUGCAGCGACGCCGCGUGAGGGAUGACGGCCUUCGGGUUGUAAACCUCUUUCAGCACAGACGAAGCGCAAGUGACGGUAUGUGCAGAAGAAGGACCGGCCAACUACGUGCCAGCAGCCGCGGUAAUACGUAGGGUCCGAGCGUUGUCCGGAAUUACUGGGCGUAAAGAGCUCGUAGGUGGUUUGUCGCGUUGUUCGUGAAAACUCACAGCUUAACUGUGGGCGUGCGGGCGAUACGGGCAGACUUGAGUACUGCAGGGGAGACUGGAAUUCCUGGUGUAGCGGUGGAAUGCGCAGAUAUCAGGAGGAACACCGGUGGCGAAGGCGGGUCUCUGGGCAGUAACUGACGCUGAGGAGCGAAAGCGUGGGGAGCGAACAGGAUUAGAUACCCUGGUAGUCCACGCCGUAAACGGUGGGUACUAGGUGUGGGUUUCCUUCCUUGGGAUCCGUGCCGUAGCUAACGCAUUAAGUACCCCGCCUGGGGAGUACGGCCGCAAGGCUAAAACUCAAAGAAAUUGACGGGGGCCCGCACAAGCGGCGGAGCAUGUGGAUUAAUUCGAUGCAACGCGAAGAACCUUACCUGGGUUUGACAUGCACAGGACGACUGCAGAGAUGUGGUUUCCCUUGUGGCCUGUGUGCAGGUGGUGCAUGGCUGUCGUCAGCUCGUGUCGUGAG
This 971-nucleotide ribosomal RNA is filed under the name Mycolicibacterium fortuitum subsp. fortuitum. RNAcentral's name for it is "bacterial SSU rRNA". It matches the Rfam family "Bacterial small subunit ribosomal RNA", at positions 86 to 1071 of the family's 1533-position model. Lineage: Bacteria; Bacillati; Actinomycetota; Actinomycetes; Mycobacteriales; Mycobacteriaceae. The record is from RNAcentral.